CUACGGGACGCACCAGUCGAGAGGCUUCGGCAAUGGGGGAAACCCUGACCGAGCGACGCCGCGUGGGUGAUGAAGAUCCUUGGAUCGUAAAACCCUGUCAAGUGGGAUGAAACACGCCUGGAUAAUACCCAGGCGGAUUGACAGUACCACUAGAGGAAGCUCCGGCUAACUCCGUGCCAGCAGCCGCGGUAACACGGGGUGAGCAAGCGUUGUUCGGAUUUAUUGGGCGUAAAGAGCUCGUAGGCGGCUUCGUAAGUCAGGGGUGAAAUCUGACGGCUCAACCAUCAACCCGCCUUUGAAACUACGAAGCUUGAGUUCAUGAGAGGGAAGUGGAAUUCCUGGUGUAGCGGUGAAAUGCGUAGAUAUCAGGAGGAACAUCAGUGGCGAAGGCGGCUUUCUGGCAUGAAACUGACGCUGAGGAGCGAAAGCCAGGGGAGCGAACGGGAUUAGAUACCCUGGUAGUC
Molecule: ribosomal RNA, 464 nt
Filed under: uncultured bacterium
Lineage: Bacteria
Description: partial 16S ribosomal RNA
Rfam family: Bacterial small subunit ribosomal RNA
Source: RNAcentral